CUUUGAUAGAGUAAAAUAUAAGGGUUAAAGCCCCUUCAACUCCU
Molecule: transfer RNA, 44 nt
Filed under: Kryptolebias brasiliensis
Lineage: Eukaryota; Metazoa; Chordata; Actinopteri; Cyprinodontiformes; Rivulidae
Description: partial tRNA-Ile
Source: RNAcentral